This 309-nucleotide ribosomal RNA is filed under the name Aeromonas hydrophila. Its description in RNAcentral is "bacterial SSU rRNA". It matches the Rfam family "Bacterial small subunit ribosomal RNA", at positions 1 to 304 of the family's 1533-position model. The record is from RNAcentral. Lineage: Bacteria; Pseudomonadati; Pseudomonadota; Gammaproteobacteria; Aeromonadales; Aeromonadaceae.
AAAUUGAAGAGUUUGAUCAUGGCUCAGAUUGAACGCUGGCGGCAGGCCUAACACAUGCAAGUCGAGCGGCAGCGGGAAAGUAGCUUGCUACUUUUGCCGGCGAGCGGCGGACGGGUGAGUAAUGCCUGGGAAAUUGCCCAGUCGAGGGGGAUAACAGUUGGAAACGACUGCUAAUACCGCAUACGCCCUACGGGGGAAAGCAGGGGACCUUCGGGCCUUGCGCGAUUGGAUAUGCCCAGGUGGGAUUAGCUAGUUGGUGAGGUAAUGGCUCACCAAGGCGACGAUCCCUAGCUGGUCUGAGAGGAUGAU